Non-coding RNA from Cajanus cajan (pigeon pea), 86 nucleotides. Lineage: Eukaryota; Viridiplantae; Streptophyta; Magnoliopsida; Fabales; Fabaceae. The record is from Rfam.
GCCAAUGAUGAAAGCCUUUAAUUUGACUGAAAUGCAAGAAUCUUGUAUUUCCUUGUUAAAAAUCUUGAACUAGGACGGUCUGAGGU